GGCGAGGUGGCCGAGUGGUUAUGGCGAUGGACCGAUAAUCCAUUGGGCUCUGCCCGCGUGGGUUCGCGUCCCACCCUCGUCG
RNAcentral lists this transfer RNA (82 nucleotides) under Dermacentor andersoni. Its description in RNAcentral is "transfer RNA isoleucine (anticodon GAU)". It matches the Rfam family "tRNA". Rfam says of the family: Transfer RNA (tRNA) molecules are approximately 80 nucleotides in length. The record is from RNAcentral. Lineage: Eukaryota; Metazoa; Arthropoda; Arachnida; Ixodida; Ixodidae.